Molecule: long non-coding RNA, 570 nt
Organism: Alligator sinensis (Chinese alligator)
Lineage: Eukaryota; Metazoa; Chordata; Crocodylia; Alligatoridae
Exons: 4
Source: RefSeq, a predicted model, not a curated record
CAAGGGGGAAGGAGCCUUCAGGGAAGAACUGCCCAGAGAUGCUGCACUUAGGGCUAAUGGGGAUCCAGGAGCUCACCAGAACUCUGAACUUCACGCAGCCACUGGAGGUCGGGUAUCUUCAAGGGCCACAUGGGGGUCCUCAUAAUCGUGGCCCCAGGCUACCCAAAGGGCUUGGUUUAAAACAGAUGCCAUUGAUCACAGACCUAUAACAAACCCUCGGGCUAAGCCAACUUAUGCUGACCACUUGGUUUCCUUCCUACAUGGACCUGUCUACCUAGCACAUGAAGCUAGGCAUCUAGGAAGUCCAGGCACCUAGUCUGAUCACCAACAAAACACCCAAGGGGAAAGGAGUGGAUUGUAGGGGAGGAGGAGCCCCACAGAAGACUCUUGGUCAUCGUGACCUGCACUGGUGUCAACAAACCCUGAACGAUCAGUGUGAAUAGCAGUCAUGUGUCUGAUGCUGUCUUCUCAGGCACUGAACAUAAAACUUUUGCUCUGAAAUAUAAGUUUGGCAACAACUGACACAGCAUGUAGUGACAACAGCAGGAAGUCCUUCUUGCUACUUGCACC